RNAcentral lists this unclassified non-coding RNA (155 nucleotides) under soil metagenome. RNAcentral describes it as "partial internal transcribed spacer 1". The record is from RNAcentral.
UAAUAAGUGUUUUUAUAUGGCACUUUUUAAAAUCCAUAUCCACCUUGUGUGCAAUUGUCGGCCGAUUCUUCUUUUUUUGAGGAUCGACCAAACAUCAACCUUUAUUUUUUAACUCUUUGUCUGAAAAAUAUUUAUGAAAUAAACAAUUCAAAAUA